CACAAUUGUCUCCUUCUGUUUGGACACAUCAUAUUGAGAACGAAUCAUUGUUUGGUAAAUACUAGUUUCGAACAAUGACCACUCUGUACAAAGACUCCCCCCCCCAAAUUACGCAGACAUCAGGGAUUAAAACCCUCCAUAACUGAACAACAUUACAAAACAGUAUUUCCCUCCGCUAAGGUUUCUUCAGUAUCUCAGACAUCCUAGUUUGAAAGCUACAGCUAGCAUGUUGAUCUGAUAGCUAUACAUACUCUCUGGACUCUGGGGGUUCUUUUUCUUUUAUUUUGCAACCUUUUGAUCUCACUUCGAAUUGCUAUACAAACAGCAGCUGAACCAACCUGACGUGGAAGGAACCAGAAUGUACACGCAGGCCUCAACAUGCAGCACAGCCUAUUUUGAUCAAGGAUGUGCAGUCUGUCUCCAUAAACCACACCUCUAUUAAAUAUGAGGUUGGCAGAUAUCUCUUGCAUUGAGUCACAGCCUGCAGGCUCUUGAGCCAAUGCCAACAUGACCCUGAGACUGUCAGUGUUACAGUCUACCUCUGCUAGACCCGUGUGAUUCAGGUUAGUGUGAAAAAAAGGGAAGGUUAUUCCAAACAAUAGCAGGUAAGUACACAAGCUGAGAAGAAACAAUAUG
Lacerta agilis (Sand lizard) is the source of this 636-nucleotide long non-coding RNA. RefSeq lists it as uncharacterized. NCBI's taxonomy places the organism in Eukaryota, Metazoa, Chordata, Lepidosauria, Squamata, Lacertidae. The transcript is spliced from 3 exons. The record is from RefSeq and is a predicted model, not a curated record.